UACGGAGGGGGCAAGCGUUGUUCGGAAUUAUUGGGCGUAAAGGGCGCGUAGGCGGCUAGAUGUGUCGAAGGUGAAAUCCCUCGGCUCAACUGAGGAACUGCCUUUGAAACUGUCUGGCUUGAGGCCGGGAGAGGGUAGCGGAAUUCCCAGUGUAGCGGUGAAAUGCGUAGAUAUUGGGAGGAACACCAGUGGCGAAGGCGGCUCACUGGACCGGUACUGACGCUGAGGCGCGAAAGCGUGGGGAGCAAACGGG
RNAcentral lists this ribosomal RNA (253 nucleotides) under uncultured bacterium. RNAcentral describes it as "partial 16S ribosomal RNA". It matches the Rfam family "Bacterial small subunit ribosomal RNA", at positions 524 to 776 of the family's 1533-position model. The record is from RNAcentral.